ACUGUAUACAGCUUCUGUAGAGAUGCUACACCGAUAGGUUUAGCUAGCUUGUUAGCUACGUGCUAGCGCCGUGUUUAGCUUCCCAUGCUCGCUUUUUAACGGGGACAGAAUCCAGCACAGAUAUGAAGCAUUUGUCGGAAAAAAAGAAAAUUGAUAGAGAACACCAGGACACACAUCAGUGAUAAACCCGUCACGUUGCAUGUUAAAGUUAACAUCGCUACGCAGCUGCGACGCACACAGGACUGCGGCGAGGACACACAACCAGGACGUGGAUAAAAACAGGGACAUUUUAUCCAACAUAAUUCAUUGUGUGAAGUUUUGUGGGGCUUUUGUGUUGAUCUUUCCUCAACACUUUGUUUGGUUGUUUCCCCAACAAACUAGGUUCAUAGGUGCAUCUCAAAAUAUAUCUGUGUGUAUAUAUAGUUUUUUGUGCUUUCUCCCCUAUCAGGUCUCUGUAGAUCGUAGUUCCUUCUGGACCCUGGUCCUGACACCUACCGUGGCCCUGCUGACGCCUGCUGCUGCCAUCAUCAUCAUCAUCAUCAUCAUCAUCAUUAUUAUUUUAGAUAUUAAUCAUAUUACAGUAAUCAUAAACCAACAUUACCCUCUCCUAAAGUCUCUGUGCUCUCCCUCCCCACAGGCUUCUGUGGAUGGUGGUUCUAUCUGAUGGUGGUUCUAUGUGACGGUGGUUCUACCUGAAAGUGGUUCUAUCUGAUGGUGGUUCUAUGUGAUGGUGGUUCUAUGUGAUGGUGGUUCUAUCUGAUGGUGGUUCUAUCUGAUGGUGGUUCUAUGUGAUGGUGGUUCUAUGUGAUGGUGGUUCUAUCUGAUGGUGGUUCUAUGUGAUGGUGGUUCUAUGUGAUGGUGGUGGUCCCUGUGUGCGUCUGGUUUACUACUCACAAUUACUUGAAUCAUUCUGUCAUAUAGUCUCAUGUAUUAUACAUUGUUCAUUCUGUCCUCAUGACAUCAUUGUAGUCUGUCCAUCAGGAGACGGAUCCUCCUCUGACGUUCUCACUGAGGUUUCUUCCCUUUUUUCCCUCUUGGAAGGGUUUUUUCAUUGUUUGGAGAGUUGUUCCUGUGCCGAUGGAGGGUUUCGGGACAGAGGAUGUUGUAUGUGUACAGACUGUAAAGCCCUCUGAGGCCAAUUUGUAAUUUGCGAUUUUGGGCUAUACAAAAUAAAAUGAAUUGAAUUGAAUUAAAGCAGCCGAUUCAGAAGGGAAAUAAUAGAACACAAAGUCUUUGGAGAACCCAUUCCCACAGUAAGCGCCAUCCACAGAUAUGUACAGUGAUAACCGCCUUGCCUACUUUCUACAAUACAUUGCUUUAAAGGCUAAAGUAAGGGAUACGGUCUGUAUUGUUUAAUUCAAGACAAAGAUUAGAUGAAAGAUUGUAGCAUGAUUGACCCUGGCCGUACUCUGCGAGAUGUGCCCUCACACGUAUCCAAGGGUAUUUUUAGGUCGGUGCACAGUAAAUCCCUCUGGCCAGUGGUGCGUUAACGCUGUAUACCUGUCUUCGGUCUACGCACCACCACACUUGUGAGGUAACAUGAACAUAAUGUCAAUACAAAUACAUUUGAGGAAGUGAAACAAACUUUGGUUUGAUGGUCAAGCUAAUUCAGCUCAGUAGGUCGUUCUACCGUUUCACGAUAGGAAAAGCACAAGUACCAACAACAAAAUGAACAAAGGCGGGCUUCCUUGUAGCUGCAUUAGUUUCAUAGUCCUGGGUCAUUCUGUGUCACUGUCAUACUGGCACGGUUGAGUGAGUCAAUGGGUGUAUUACCCAUAGGAGAUGGCAGCUAAACCUAUUCUAGACCACAAAACAAAAAAAUUUAUGGUUUAUAAUAUUCCACAGCUUCAUCUGGCCGUGAAGCAGGCGACUGUGGGUGAGUGGGGAGCAGGUCGUCCUCCAAUCAGAGGGUUGUCGGUUCGAUCCCAGGCUCUGCUAACCCGCAUGUCGAUGUGUCCUUGGGCAAGACACUUAACCCAACAUGGCUCCUGUAGCUGCGACUACAGUGUGUGAAUGUUAGUGACUGAUGGCAGGUGUCACUGUGUGUGGUUCUCCUGUUAUCAGUGUAUGGAUGGGUGUGAAUGGGUGAAUGAUGUCAUGUAGUGUUAAAGGGCUUUGAGUGGUCAGAAGACUAGAAAAGCGCUAUACAAGUACAGUCCAUUUACCAUUUACCAUUUCUGAUGGGGAGAUUCCAGAUUCCUUUGAUCACAACACAAGUUGUACCUCUCAGAAGCGACCCUGGUCUACCGCUGCCAUGACAGUCAGUUGUAAUGACAGUCGGUUUCUCGGACUAAAACACCUCAUGCUUGAGUUCCCUCUCUAAUGCAAGGCAAAUACGUUUGUAGGCGACCUUCCAUCUCCCAACGAAGAGCCUCAUACGCCCCCCUUCAGAACAUCCAAACUAUGCUUUGCAUUUUGCCUUCACUCACUAGACAUGCAUUUAAAUGCACGUUUCCUCCUUUGGAUCACAUAUACGGAUUGACUGCAUGUGUUCAUGCAGAGAAAUCCAUUACCAUUGACUAAUGGCUAGAUAGGAGCAAUAUGACAGAAAGAACAAAAUGGGAAGAAGAAAAAAAGAUCGGUCAUAUGGUUAGUGUGUGUGUAUGUGUUGACAGUGGCAUUCUGACAGGUUCUUAGAGUCUAAUGUUCCUAUAAGCACAGUGAGUGUAUCUCCUCAACAAUCAACUCUGAUUGUUCAGCACAACACAUGUCAAUUAUCGUUCUAACACAGCACAAUGACUCUAUAACCUCAGUCCUGAUUGUGCGUUUGAGUGUGUUUGUGUGUGUGUCGGACUUUAAGCAGCGAGGAUCAGAUAUAAAUUAGUAAUGCUGAGCAUGCUGCUGGUGAGACUCUGAUUGUCACUAUAAUGUUCACCCUCUCAGCUCUGUGUCAUCUGACAUCCCUUCAUAUAUAUUAGACUGCGAUACACAGUGGCACCUCCCCAUCAGAACUCAUUCACAUUCAUACACCGCAGGACAACAGUGGGCGACUGUGUGUGAGUGGAGAGCCCGGUUCAAACCCCGGCUCUGCUAGUCAGCGUGUUGAUGUGUCCUUGAGCAAAACACUUAUCCCCAACAUUGCUCCCGUAGCCGUGACUACAGUGUGUGAAUGGGAUGAAUGUUAGUCCUGGUGGGCAGCUGGCGCUGUGUAUGGCAGCUCCCGUCAUCAAUGUGUGAAUGAGUGAAUGAUGACAUGAAGUGUAAAAGAGCUUUGAGUGGUUGAAUAGCGAUAUACUUACAGUCCAUUUUCCAUUUACAACCAUGCUCUCCACUGAGCCACAGCCCCGCUGUAUUUUAUAUAUUACUGGAAUAAUCCUGUUAAAGUGAUGGAAAAUGGUUAUGAAUGCUGCAUGAAAAUACUCCCAUAGAUGUAUACAACGCUCAUAAUAAAAUACUUGGGAAAAUGCCCAGAUUUAAAGAAAUGGCAUAGCAUUGCUAAUAAUGAAAUGAUACACACACGAUGAAAGGAAAUAAAAGCAUCAGUCAGCUGCUGCCUGCAGCGCUGCGCUGUCACAGAACUCCGUCUCAGUGUAACAAGUCAACUGCUAAUUACUCAACAAGUGAGAUUACAACCUGAGUGUGUCCCAGCUGCCGGCUACUUGUCAAACAUCUCUCCAACAGAAAUCAAUAGUUCAUCAUCUCUACAUAUUACUACAUCUCAGGAGGAGAAAGAGGAGAAAAAGGGAGCCCAGGAGAGGAGAAGAUAUGUCCAUGUGUUCACCAUGGGUACGAGAACCAAAUCAUGUUUUCAGGUUAACGUUCAUUUUUGAUGAAGAACCACAUGACGCUAACCCAGGGAUCCAUAUCCAUGAAUCACUACUGAUGACCAAGUCAAACUGCGGGCGUUAUGACAACAGAAGCACAGCUAGAGAGUCAGACUGACUGUACACAAACACUGACUAAAUAUCACAAUCAUAAAGUGAGAGAAGCUAGAAAGUGAGCUUCUUACCUGUUAUUUUAGAGUUAUAGUAAUUUUACAACAUUCAGCUACGUUAGCGAUCUGAUGAAACCAUAUAUUCUCAUAUUAAGAAAACAGAAAUAUAUUUCUAAUCUCAUAGCAGCUUUAAUUAAGAUCUUUACUUACAAUAAGUGCAUUUCAACCAUAAGGAUACAGACACAAAAGAACAAGAAACAAGAAAGUGCAAUUUCAUUAAAUAAGCCGAUUUAUAACUUGCUGUAGAGAGAUUAUAAUUACAAUGUAAGUGCUACAGUUAGUGUUUUAGUGGAGGUAGAGUCUGAAGAGGUGUGUCUUUAGUCUGAAGAUGUGAAGGCUCUCUGUGGUCCUGAUGUCUUCAGAGACCUCCUUCCACCAUUUAGGAGCAGGACAGCAAAGAGUGGAGAUCUAGUCGAGUGUUUUGCUAUCAGUGAGGAGGAACAAGCAGUUUAUCACAUGCAGAGCGGAGAGUGCGGGUCGGGAUGUCGGGUUGGACCAGGUCCUGGAUGGAAGCUGGACCCCAUCCAUUCACAGCACGGUACGUGAGCACCAUGUUUAGAACUGGAUAAGCCACCGGUACCAGUGAAGAGAGCGGAGGAGUGGAGGAGUGAGGGAGAACUUAGGAAGGUUAAAGACCAGUGGAGCUGCUGCAUUCUGGAUGAGCUGCAGAGGUGGAAUGGUGGUAGCAGGAGACCUGCAGGAGAGAGUUACAGUAGUCCAGGAGGGAGAUGACACGAGCCUGAAUAAGUACCUGCGCUGCCUUCUGAGUGAGAAGAGGAGGGGACCCAGGACGGAACCCUGAGGAACUCCAGUAGUAAGAGGACAAGGUUCCGACACAGAUCCUCGCCAGGUUACUCGGUAGGUGCGGCCGUCGAGGUAGGACGAGAGAAGGGAGAGAGCAGAGCCUGAGACACCAAGUUCCUGAAGGGAGGAGACAAGGAUCUGGUGGUUGACUCUGUCAAAUGCAAUAGAGAGGUCCAGAAGGACAGAGAGGAGCUCUAGCAGUGUGGAGUUGCUCUGAGACAGAUGUCCAUAUUUUUGUCUUAAUAGUCAUGACAUACAGCCAUCAAUCAAUUGAUCUAAUGCUUUUACAUGAAACAUAGAUUAAAAAGCUGGUCUUUUAAGCGGAACUAAUUGAUCAACUUUUGACUCUAUUUUUAACUAUUGCUGGUCAGGUUUUUUGUAGGAAAUACAAUCGAAACAAAAAGUAAACUCCCUACUUGUGUCAUUGUUAUUGUGGAAGAUUUUAUCGUGAGCAUUUUCAGAUUGUUAAGUGGCCAAACACUACCCCAAACCGUUGUAGAAUGUUAGUAGUACCAAUCUAAUGGCCAUAAUAGGGAUGAAAGGCUUUUGAUGUUUUCAUCAUAUAUAUGACAUUUAGCUGGUUAGAUGAUCAUUGAAAAAUAACACAGAUAAAAAACAGACUUUGUUCUUACUUAUUUAAAUUUUGACAGACUGCGUUUUACUGCGGUAUUGUGCUAUGAAAACGGAAAUGUGAGACUUCGUAAAGGACGUAGUUAGCAGACCAAUCACAGCCUUGUGCGCUCCAGGAGGCUGCGUCGCUUUUAACGCUAGAGAAAUAGAGAAAUGGGUCGACGCACGCAAGGAGGUGUGAAAAGACAUGCGAGGGACACGCAAGGGACACGCAAGGGACUCUUGCGUUUCCUUGCGUCGCUCUGAAAAUGCAGAAGCAUAAACUAGGCUUUAAGUAAACUUAAGGGUGUGUGUGUGUGUGUGUGUGUGUGUGUGUGUGUGUGUGUGUCAACAGAAAGUCACACCCUGCUGAUAUCUGCUAAAAUGUGCCGCUGACUUGGAGUCAACGAUUAAACAAUUGAGUCUGAAAGUCAGAGCAGCGAUGCUGUGUGAGAGCUAAUGUGUGGAUGGAUAUUGAUUGUCAUUUUUACAGGUCAUUUCCUCUGACGAUAAUUAAUAUCUGUUUCUCAUUCAUCCGACGGUCCACUGUCUCUGUUGUUUAACCCCGAAGGCGAAAUCGGCCUUAGUGGACCCAGAGGAAGAAUGGUGAGCAGAAAGUCACUAGUUUGAAUCCACUGAAUGGAAUAUCAAAUGCGGAGCUUAUUAAUCAAUAAUUAGGUUGUUGACAUUUACUGCAUUGUUUUAAUGUCUUUAAAUCUCUUUCUUUUCUUUAAAUUGUCUGAAAUUUCAAUUUAUUUCUAGGGGGACUGCCCAUUAUUCUCAAGCUUCGAUAGUCUGAAAAAAGAUUUUUCUUGGAACAAAGGACUAUAUGUCCAUCUAUCUGCCCUGCUCUGCUUUGCCAAGCUCUGCAGCGAAUCCUGAUGUUGUUCCUGAUCUGCCUGUUUACAUCGUUUGCCUGUCUGCUCAAACAGUUUGGAGGACUGGCCGACUGGUUUUGACCCUGCCUGAACACGAGUGAAGAACUUUCUGUUGUGCUUUUGUGUUCAAGUACCUGUAAUCCUUACAACUGAUGAUAGUUCCAGGACUGCUUCAUUAACGCUUAACGCUGAAGUACUUGCAGGGUGUGUGUAGCCUGCAGUCUUGGUUUCACUACCCCGUUCAGGUCACUCUGGUUCUGUAGAAACGUGCUCGUGCUGCUGUUACGGAUUCAAGCAGUAGAGCACACAUAGUAGUAGAAAUUACAAUACAUGUAGUAAUGUUUAGUGUUAGAAUUGUAGUCUGUGUGUUAUUAAAUAUGAGUUAUUACAUUAGCAGGUUAGAUUAAAUAAUUAUAAUAUGAAUCAAACACCAUUUAUAGUCAUUUAAGUCAUAUAAUUACUGUACACAUUAACAUCCUGCCACGAUGUAAUGUUAAAACCUGGGGAUGGAUGCUAAUUGCCGUCCUUUAUGGAUUUCUCCUACUUAUAUCCCCAAAGAGGGUUUUUGGGGAGUUUUUGCUCACUUUCAGGUAGUGAAUGAACAAAGGAUGUACGACAGCCCUGCAAGGCAAACAUUCUGAUUUUGGACCAUAAGUGAGUUAAGAUGUGAUGGAAUGUGAUGUUAUUAUGCAUGCUAUGUUAUGUUUACAUUGUGGUGAACCAGGGGUGGGAUCCAAGCACAGGAGGCGGAUCUCCAAGCUCCGAUUGGGGGAGGUAAUAAAGGGGAUAUAUUAUCCUGUGCAGAUGCUGCAGCCACUAGGAACGUGGCAUUGGUCACACCUGCGGCCCAUCAGUUAAUUAGAGGUGGAGGAUACAUCUAGGUAGCAGAGCAGACACAGAAAGACAGACGGAGACCGAGCCCCAGUAGCAGCGAAGAGGUAACGACCAGGACCCUCCCCUUCCCUCCCCUCCCCUCCCCAGUAAAGAGCUCACCAAGCAGACUGGUGAAUGACAUUGAGGCCUACCUAGAGGUUUUAGAGAGGACUGCAGAGAGGGAACGUUGGCCUAAAGCGGAGUGGGCAGGUAUCGUAGCCCCUUUUUUUAUUGGCGACGCUCAAAAAGCCUGCCGGGACCUUUACCGCACUGAAGUAAAGAAUUAUGGGGCAUUGAAAGCUACCAUUUCAGCUCAUUAUGGUCACAACCUGCAGACGAGCGCCCCACAGUUCCACUUAUCACUUUCACUUGUCACUUUCUGUUUGCUAGUGCACUUUAUUUUUCAUUUUUAAAUAUUUGUGACUUUUAAAAUUUGUUAGUAAUAUAAGCCCAUAGCCUUAUAUUACUAACAAAUAGCAUUAUUUUAUUCCUCUUGCACUAUGUUGUCUUGUCGUCGAUUGUCGUACUGUCUGCUGUUACGCACCAACCGCCAAGUCAAAUUCCUUGUAUGUCUGACAUACCAAUGUUUCCUGAUUCCUGGGCUUAUGACUCUGCUGCCCCAGUGCAACCGCAACCCCUUAUGCGAUUGACGCGCAGUUGGUUAACCUCGGGAGGGACCUCCAGCCCAGGACAGAGUUGUCAUUGACCUGUAUAUCUCACUACCAGGAGCUGCCCCGAGACAGUGGAUGAUCUUGUGACGCUGUUGGAGAAUCACCAGGUCACAGCAGAGUUGAUGCAGAGCAGUAGGAAAGAGCCCUUACGACGCAGCCAAUUUGACCCCAAGAGAGACUGGCUGAGGAAGGGUAAUAUGGAGACACUGCCCCUAAGUCAGAGGCCCAAAGGGGGCUUUUCCACAUUUUGCAAAAAAGAAUGGCCUCUUAUCUUUAUAAGAAGCCAUUGCUAAGCUGGUGGAACUUGUGGUGGAACAGUUGCUAGUCCCCAAACGCUAUAUUCCAAAAGUGUUGUAACUGGCCCACUCACACAUGUUGGGAGCUCAUCUAGGGAUAGAGAAGACCUACAACCGAAUCCUGGAGCGCUUCUACUGGCCGGGGGUAAAGAAGACGAUCCAGGAUUGCUGCAAAAUCUGCCCGGAGAUCCAGAAGACAGCUCCAAAGGUAAACUACCAAAAUCCCUUAAUACCGCUACCAGUAAUUGACCUCCCCUUCCAGAGGGUGGGCAUGGAUAUAGUGGCAACGCUGCCGAAGUCCAGUAGGGGGCACCUUUAUAUCCUGGUCAUCAUGGAUUAUGCCACCCGGUACCCAGAGGCAGUCUCGUUAAGCAAUGCAGUGCUGAAGCAGUAGCGAGGGAAUUAUUCCUUCUCUUUAGUAGAGUUGGUAUUGCAGAGGAAGGCCUAACUGGGACCAGGGUACCUGUUGAGUGAUGAAAGAGAUGUGCAAGCUGCUGAAGGUGAGCCAAACAAGAACCUCUGUCUACCACCUCCAGAUGGACAGCCUGGUAGAACGUUUUAAAAAAAACGUAAAACAAAUGCUGAGGGCUAUUGAUGUGGAUGGGAAAAACUGGGACCAAAUAAUCCCCUUUGUCCUGUUGUCUGGAUUCUCAAUCCCAGAAGUUCACAGGGUUCUCGCCGUUUGAGCUGCUGUGUGACCCAGGGGCAGGCCGUACCUGGCCGAAGAAGCAUGGGAGCAGCAGCCAUCAGCCCACAGCUCAGGCAUAGUGUAUGUGGACCAGAUGCAAGAGAGGAUAGCCGCUGGUGCUGGAACAUAGUGUAUGCAGGAAGCCCAACACGCCCAAGCCAGAAUCUAUAACCGUAAAGCUCAACUACGGGAGUUCCAGCCUGGGGAGUUUGUCUUGGUCCUGAUUCCGACUGUUGAAUGCAAGUUCCUGGCCAAGUGGCAUGGACCCUAUGAGGUGAUCGAGAGGAUGGGUGAGGUAAACUAUAAGGUGAGACAACCUGGGAGAAGGAAAACCUGCCAAACUUAUCACAUCAAUCUGUUGAAGAGAUGGCACGCCCUUCGGUCAAAAUCCCAGAUCAUGUCCCUUUACAGGUACCUCUGGGCCCCCAUCUCAGUCCGACCCACCGGAAAGACAUUGUGACACUGACCGGGCAGUUUAAAGAUGUGUUUUUAGACCUAUGUGAUUCAACAUGACAUCAUCAUUUAACCUGGGAAAAGGGUGAGGCUCAGACCCUACUGCAUCCCUGAGGCAAAAAGGGAGACCAGUAUAGAAGAAGAGUCACGUAGUGCCUGGUCCAGCCCAUUGUUUUUAAUUCCAAAACCCAAUGGCAGCGAGAGAUUCUGCAAUAAUUUUAGAAAAUUGAAUGAAAUCUCAAAAUUGGACCCCAUGCCAAGGGUUGAUGAGCUAAUUGAGCAAUUUGGCCCACCCUGGUUUGUGUCCACUCUCAACCUCACUAAAGGUUACUGGCAGGUUCCCCUCACAGAUGCUGCAAAGGAGAAGACGAGCAGAAUACCUCGGCUACACCAUUGGGAGAGGCAGUGUAAGACCCCAAUCCCGGAAAGUGGAAGCCAUCGCCACCUGGCCUAAGUCAGCAACUAAGCGGCAAGUAAAAACGUUCCUGGGCCUGGUCGGCUUUUAUCAGUGCUUUAUACCUCACUUUGUCACCAUUGCAGCCCCUUUACAUGAGAUGAUGAAAAACAGCCACCCACACCAGGUUCUUUGGAGCACCAACGCUGUGGAAGCAUUUGCAACCCUUCGGAAGGCCUUGUGCACUGAGCCGAUCUUAAGCACCCCUAACUUCCAGGACACGUUCGUCGUCCAUACAUAUGGCUCAGGAUCAGGUAUUGGAGCUGUGCUGUCCCAGGUUAGAGGAGGAGAACACCUCCGGGUUGACACAACAUGAAGAAGCUUUAAGCCAAAGGUGUGAUCAUUGAAUGUACUGUAGUAUUUAGUGAACAGGGAUUGGUCAGGUCAGUGAGGGAUUUCAGAUUCGACCAUUAGAUGGAGCCAGAAGGAAGUCAUGUGAUGCCUUGGAGAAGAAAGGAAUUCACGAGGGAGGAGUUGGACUUGAAUGUGCAGCCAAUCACAUACGACUGCAGCACAAGGGUCGCGCCAGCUCCUGGGAGAUUGGAAGAGCUGAGCUGGAGAAGGAGCAAACAGCCUCCUGUGAACCAAUAUUGAUAGCCAUAUGAGACUUUGACCAAGGGACUUCUCUAUUUCGCGAGAUAAUAUACUCUUCAGACUUUAUUCCGCUGUAUUGCUUAUUACUUCUGUUAGUUAUUAAGUUCUUUAUCAUUUUUAAACUCGAGCCAGUUGACUCUUAUUGAUUUCUCGUCUCAGAAGGGCCGAGGGGAACAGUAGUGGUCCUUGAUCAGAACCCAACACUGCAUAGGUUCGACGCUCUGCAAGAAGUUGCGCAUGCGCGUUACAGAUGUGAUUAGACUUAAAGAAGUAAUGUUUCAAACAGCCCGCAUUACUAUGUCCUUAAAGCUUCUUGUUAACAGUACACCGUCUGUAGUUCCAUAUUUAUGUCGUUUUGAAUGAAAUAUUCUGAGUAUUAAAUGAAAUUUGAACCCAAUUUCUGUGCUGAAAUCGCAUAUAGUGCUCACUGCGUAUCUUGCAAUGUACCAACAGUUUGUGUUUUUAUUCCAAACUUUUUGUUCUGAUAUAUGCAAUGAAUAAGAAUAUCAUGGCGAAGGAGUGGUUAUUUUAAAUGGUUCCAUUUUUUAUGUGUUCUGGUCAAACUCACAUUGAUUGCAUUUACAAAUAUUUCCACUGAGAUUCCGGGUAAUACCCGAUGGAUAUGAAUCAGGCGUUGAACUGAGAAAUAUGGAAUCAUUUAAUCUCCUCUCAGUUUUGUGUGCUGUAUCUGAGCCGCUGUCUAGUCCUCCCUCAUACUGAUCUGUGUCUCUCCCUCUCUUUUCUUUAAUCACAUUUAGUUUCAUUUUCACCUUCAUCAUCUCUUAAUCAAACAUCCCAGAUCACAUUUUCUAAAAUUGGACUGAGUGCGUGUGACUAAGCCUCAUGUCUGUCUGACUGUCGCUGUGUAUUCACUGUAAAAAAUGAAGCAAUCAGAAGAAAUGCUUGGAUCUCAAAGUGAGGUACCACAGUAUAAUAUAGUAUAGUGGAAUAUAUUUGAUAUUUAUCUGACAUGUUCUCUGCUGCAGGUUAUAGGAGGAUUUUAAUCUGUCAGAAGGGUUUUUAUGACUUACUUACUUCCCAUAAGGGGGAGAAUCCUCCGGUUGGACUGUCCAACGUAAGUCUAUGAGAACAUUACUUGAUUACUCUUGAUUCAUUCGCUCAGUAAACAUAGUAAACAUGAGUGCAUGGUUUUAAUUUGUAAUUUCAAUUCUUCACUACAAGAUGAUGUGUAUAGUUAUGGUCACUUUAGAGUCAAAUGGGCCAAAAGGCAGAGUCGCCUUUAGGGAAGAGCUUACUGUUAUUGACAACUCACUGACUCUACCAGAGACGGCACAUAAUCAAAGACGGCGAUGGCAAAAUUGCCAAACUCAAGGCGUCACCCAUUGGAUUAAUGCGUGAUAUCACAAGGAUUAUGGCCACUGUAUGUUCCUGAAUGGGGACCAGGACGGGCGUGAAUAUAUCUUAAAGUACUGUCUCGUGAGUCAUUCCAGCAGCAUGCGUUCAUAAACAGAAGUCAUGGUGACAUCAUCCUUUGCUUUGUGAACUGACGUUUUAAACCCUUUUGUUCGGGCUAAAUUGGUUUCAUUCGCAAGCUAUAAACAGAAGUUACCAUAUUUAAAAUGAUGAUGAGUGACAGCUGCAGUAGUGUUAGUGACCUGUCAGUUAUUGUUAAACCAACCCUUAAUCGUAGGUUGCUUUAUUGUCUAUUUUACUUUAGAUCUGCAAAAUAAUUAUGAUGCUGUAUUCAAGAAGACUUGAGACCAUAAACAAAUCUUUACAAUGUUUACUGAGGUAAUAAAUCAAGAGAGAAUUAGUCAUUUCCACGUUGGCUUCACCUGGUAGACGUGGCUGCCGCCUGCUUAAAAUGUGUCACCUGCAAAACUGUUGUUAUCCUAUUGUACGCCGCACCUGACAUAGAGCAAGAGGGAGAGAGAGAGAGCCCUCCUUCUUUCCGUCAAUCAUAUGUGAUUGCUUGGUUGUGUGUUCAGCAACAAACUGCUUUGCCCCAGGCAAGAGGCUCCCCUUGUAUCGACACCCCCCAAUGUCAUCAGCUGCUGACAGUUUAGCCAAUGUGAAAAUGAAAGGGGCCUUUUUACUUUGAGCCCUGAAAUCUCCUUGCAGCAGGUAACCUGUAGAAUGGUGAAGCCAGUUUGUCUUUCAGCACCUUUAGGGGUGCAUGUAUUGUAAAGAGCUAUCAGUGAGAACUGACCCAAUGGAUCGGAAGCUUCUGCACUGCUUACAAAUCACCGACAGUCUUCUGCUGACUACAAGCUUCGAUGGAGGGAAAUGAUUAGAGGGACUUUUCAACAAUACGAGUCAUCAUAAACUUCAGAUGAGCCAUGUUUGCUUUACAUUAAUAAUCGAAAUGAAGUGAAGCAAACUCUACUAAUACAUAUAAACUAAACUGUGUUCUAUUUUUGCCAACAUGCAUUAUGUCAGGUUGUUCUUCUCCAGGCAGAUUCUGAAUGCAUUAUAUUGUUUAAACUUUUGAAUUUGGUGUUCAUCUCUAUGACGGUAGCAAAUUCUUAAAGACUGCACUAAGAUCUGGACUGAGGCCUCCUUCAAUUCUGCUUGUUUCUCUUUUUCUCUCUUACACUUCUGCUAUUUCUCUCUCUGUAAUGAGUGAGUGUGUGUGUGUGUGUUUGUGUGCACAUGUGUGUUGGAUUGAUGCGGACAGCUUCAGCCACGCACCUGCUGAAUUUGAUUGACCGGGAUGACUCCGGCAAUCACAGUGGCCGCACCCCCGCCUCCCCACGCUCACCCCCGCUCCCUUCACUCCUUCCUCCUCCUUCCUCCUCCCAUCAUUCAUUCUCUUUCACUCACGUUCCUCCCAUUUCUCUCUCCUUCUCCUUCCCAGUCCUUCGUCUCCUCCCCCAAAAUACUGCGCCUCUGUUCCUUCCUUCACUUCUCCACACCUCGUUUGCCAGCCGCGGUUGCCUGGCAACAGCUGCUCUCGCUCUGUCUUUUUCUCUGUUGCCCAGGUAUGGUGAAUCUGUGAAAAGGGUAAAGAAGAUUAAAAGUAUAUACAAUUUAGGUCAAGAAGGAACAAACAAAGAGAAGGAGAUUUCUUAGGAGAGGAGUCGUCGUGGCGCAGGGGUUAGAGAAGUUGUGCUGGGAAGCACAAGGUUGGUGGUUUGAUUCCAGGCUGCCCCAUGUUACAUUACAUUACAGGUCAUUUAGCAGACUCUUUUAUCCAAAGCGACUUACAUUACAUUUUAAACCCAUGGCUUUUUCACAUUUUUUUUUGCCCGGGGAGCAAUUAGGGGUUAGGUGUCUUGCUCAGGGAAACUCCGACAUGCAGAUGCGGCAGCCCGGGAAAUUGAACCAC
Long non-coding RNA from Gasterosteus aculeatus aculeatus (three-spined stickleback), 13543 nucleotides. Lineage: Eukaryota; Metazoa; Chordata; Actinopteri; Perciformes; Gasterosteidae. The record is from Ensembl.